AAGAACAUAACCUCCGAUACGAUAAAUAGAAUAAAACCAUAUCGAGGUCCUAAUUUUACGACUUUGGGAUGUUUUUCGAACGUGGAUUCACGUAGAACAUCGCGCCACCAUAUGAACAUGAUAUAUAGGAUAAAUAUGAGGCCCAAACUGCGAAGUGUUGCACCCCUUUGGAAUGAGUGCAUGUACAUCACACCUCCUACGGUUGUUGCCAAAGCUCCGAGUGAACCCGAAAUAGGCCAUGGACUUGGAUCUACCAAAUGAUAAGAAUGCCUCUGAGAUUCAAUCAUAAACCACUUUGCCUCGGUUCUAUGUAAACCCCCCUUCACCCCCACCCCCUAAAGUAGUAAAGUAAAGAAGGGCUCUUUGGGGUCUAAUUUGCUUUCUAUCUGACAGGACAAACAAAGAAAUAGGAAGGGAUGGUUCUUUCAUUCCAUUGAUAGAAGUCUAUUCGCGGAUUAGUUCGUUCUGCGCCGCCAGCGGCCUCAACCUAAAGGCGCAGGUUGAUCUCUCUAGUUGAGGCUGCAUUCAUUUAUUCAUAUUCAACUUGACACGUGGGAAGGGCUUACUCUACUAGUGGCUCGGCUUGGUCUCGCUCCCUUC
This 600-nucleotide long non-coding RNA is filed under the name Nicotiana benthamiana. RNAcentral describes it as "long non-coding RNA (NBEN_LNC009597)". Lineage: Eukaryota; Viridiplantae; Streptophyta; Magnoliopsida; Solanales; Solanaceae. The record is from RNAcentral.